This is a non-coding RNA of Pelobates cultripes (western spadefoot toad), 1405 nucleotides long. The record is from the annotation of a GenBank genome assembly. Lineage: Eukaryota; Metazoa; Chordata; Amphibia; Anura; Pelobatidae.
ACAAAGAUUAAAUAUUUUGUUUUUCAGUUUAAUUCAUGAAUGGCAUUGUGUCUCAGGGCUCUUUUGAUCACUGAAAACAAUCUCGGACACCUGUGAUAAUUAGAUUGCCAGGUGAGCCCAAUUUAAGGAAAAACUACUAAAGGAGGGUAUUCCACAUUAUUAAGCAGAGCACCAUUUUCAUGCAAUAUGGGGAAGAAUAAGGAUCUCUAUGCUGCCAAAAAGAGUGAAAUAGUUCAAGGCGUUGGACGAGGUAUGAAAACAUUAGAUAUUUCACGAAAACUUAAGCGUGAUCAUCGCACUAUUAAGAGAUUUGUGGCUGAUUCAGAGCACAGACGGGUUUGUGUAAUAAAGGCAUAUUGAGGAAGAUUUCUGCCAGAUCCAUGCAUCGGAUCAAGAGAGCAGCUGCUAAAAUAACAUUCCAUAACAGCAAACAGAUAUUUGAAGCUGCUGGUGCCUCUGGAGUACCAUGGACAUCAAGGUGUAGAGUCCUCCAGAGUCUUGCAACUGUGCAUUAACCUUCUAUUCAGCCACCACUAACCAAUGCUCACAAGCAGAAAUGGCUGCAUUGGGCAGAAAAAUACAUGAAGACUAAUUUUCAAACAGUCCUGUUCACUGAUGAGUACCGUGCAACCCUGGAUGGAGUAGUAGAUGGUUGGCGGACGGCCACCCUAUUCCAACAAGGCUGCGACAUUAGCAAGGUGGUGGAGGAGUCAUGUUUUGGGACGGAAUCAUGGGAAGAGAGCUGGUCUGUUCCUUAAGGGUCUCCAAAAGGUGUAAAUAUGACCUCUGCAAAGUAUGUGGAGUUUCUGACUGACCACUUUCUUCCUUGGUACAGAAGAAAGAACUAUGCUUUCCGUAAUAAAAUCAUCUUUAUGCAUGACAAUGCACCAUCUCAUGCUGCAAAGAAUACCUCUGCAUCAAUGGCUGCUAUGGGGAUAAAAUGAGAGAACGUCAUGGUGUGGCCUCCAUCCUCCACUGAACUCAAUCCUAUUGAGAACCUUUGGAGCAUCCUCAAACAAAAGAUCUAUGAGGGUGGGAGGCAGUUUACAUCCAAACAGCAGCUAUGGAAGGCUUUUCUGACAUCUCGCAAACAAAUUUAAGCAAAAACUGUCCAAAAACUCACAAGUUCAAUGGAUGCAAAACUUGUGAUGCUGCAAUCAAAUAAAGGGCCCUAUGUUAAAAUGUAACGUGACCUGUUAAAAUGUUUAAAAGGUUAAAAUGUUGUUAUAAGUUUGAAUGAAAUAGCUUUUGAUUUCAGUAAAUAUGCUGCAAACACAACAAAUGACAAUUUUCAGUUCUUUACAACCUAUGAAGUGUUUUGAAACUUACUGUGCAUAAUAAUUUGGAACAGUGCAUUGUAAGUUUAUGUUUAAAAAAAUACUGUAAUCGUUAGGUUUGUUCAAUA